RNAcentral lists this transfer RNA (71 nucleotides) under bacterium. Its description in RNAcentral is "tRNA-Pro". It matches the Rfam family "tRNA". Rfam says of the family: Transfer RNA (tRNA) molecules are approximately 80 nucleotides in length. The record is from RNAcentral.
CGGGCUGUAGUACAACGGUAGUAUGCACGGCUGGGGGUCGUGUGACCCGGGUUCAAUUCCCGGCAGCCCGA